GCUUAUCACCAUUCCAGAUUGAAUAUACCCGAUCUCGUCUGAUCUCGGAAGUCAAGCAAUCUCG
Ciona savignyi (Pacific transparent sea squirt) is the source of this 64-nucleotide non-coding RNA. Lineage: Eukaryota; Metazoa; Chordata; Ascidiacea; Phlebobranchia; Cionidae. The record is from Rfam.